CACGAGCAAUCAAUGAUAAGAAACAUUGUAUUUGUAUUCAAGCGAGCAUUGCUCGCUGCAUGUGGUCAAUUUUUGAGAGCACUUUCUGACAUUAAUUUUCAAUUCAUACCUGUAAGGCCCCUGUAAAAACUGUAAAUAAUCUUUAUUUCUUCUUUUUUCUUCGUUAUGAAAGCAUAAAUAAGAGUUCAUUGUAAACUAAGAGCUCAGAAAAUGUACAUUUUCAACUAAAGUUGUUUGUUUUCAAGUUGACAUUUUGUGUUUACUCCACGCAUGAUCCACGCGGGCUCGUAUCCGUGCCGAUUAAUCUUUAAUCGGCACACUGUGCCGAUUAAUGUUUAAUCGGCACGGUUUUUAACCAAUCAGAAUCGAGUAAAUUGACUAAAAUGAUAUUA
Paramuricea clavata is the source of this 392-nucleotide non-coding RNA. The record is from the annotation of a GenBank genome assembly. Lineage: Eukaryota; Metazoa; Cnidaria; Anthozoa; Malacalcyonacea; Plexauridae.